Molecule: ribosomal RNA, 324 nt
Filed under: uncultured eukaryote
Lineage: Eukaryota
Description: partial 18S ribosomal RNA
Rfam family: Eukaryotic small subunit ribosomal RNA
Source: RNAcentral
CCCUUAGAUGCUCUGGGCCGCACGCGCGCUACACUGGUCGAUGCAACGAGUUUCUUUCCUUGGCCGACAGGCCUGGGCAAUCUUUGAACAUCGAUCGUGAUCGGGAUAGAUUCUUGUAAUUUUUGAUCUUAAACGAGGAAUUCCUAGUAAACGCAAGUCAUCAGCUUGCAUUGAUUACGUCCCUGCCCUUUGUACACACCGCCCGUCGCAACUACCGAUUGAAUGGUCCGGUGAAAUCUCCGGACUGGCGUGAGUCGGAGCAAUCUGACAAACGCCGGAAAGUUGAUUAAACCUUACCAUUUAGAGGAAGGUGAAGUCGUAACA